UAAUUUUAAUAAAUAUUGACGUGUGGAUGACAAACUUAGUGAGAUGAUAUUUUUGCUUCAAUAAGACAAAUAGAUAUUGACGUGUUUUGUCAACAUGAAAAUGAAAUGAUGACAUUCAUUUUUUAUUAACUAAUAAUUUUGAAUAGAAGCAUCUAGUAUGUAUUUUGAUUAAUUGUAUAUUUUUCAUAUCUAGGUAAUAGUAAAAAGAUAAAAAAAAAUUAGUUUUUUUUCUUGUAAAUAAGUCAAAUUUGUUAGGUUUUUUUAACUUUGAAAAAUAAGAUAUAGUGGACUUCUCUGUCACGGUUUCACUUUCCACCAAACUGAAAAAUCAUGUCUCCACUUCCAUAAUCAGCAUUAAUAUUUGAAAAAUCUUUUUUGUAGAAAUUCAUGAAAAAUACUGAGCUAAUUUAUUUGACCAACUUUUAGAAAUUUUUAUAAUGAUUCUUCUACAUAAAAAUAGAAAACAUGAAAAACCCGUCAAAAUUAAAAUAAGACAUGUUUUUAUUGUUUAAAAUUCGUAGAUUUAUUCUAAUUAAUGU
This 539-nucleotide long non-coding RNA is filed under the name Capsella grandiflora. RNAcentral describes it as "long non-coding RNA (CGRA_LNC000373)". The record is from RNAcentral. Lineage: Eukaryota; Viridiplantae; Streptophyta; Magnoliopsida; Brassicales; Brassicaceae.